This 495-nucleotide ribosomal RNA is filed under the name uncultured bacterium. RNAcentral describes it as "bacterial SSU rRNA". It matches the Rfam family "Bacterial small subunit ribosomal RNA", at positions 899 to 1397 of the family's 1533-position model. The record is from RNAcentral.
ACUCAAAUGAAUAGACGGGGACCCGCACAAGCAGCGGAGCAUGUGGUUUAAUUCGAAGCAACGCGAAGAACCUUACCAAGACUUGACAUCGAGUGCAAGCCGUGGAAACACGGUCCUCCUUCGGGACACGAAGACAGGUGGUGCAUGGUUGUCGUCAGCUCGUGUCGUGAGAUGUUCGGUUAAGUCCGGCAACGAGCGCAACCCUUAUGAUCGGUUGCCAAUAUUCAGUUAGGAACUCCGGUCAGACUGCCGCGGAUAACGCGGAGGAAGGCGGGGAUGAUGUCAAAUCAUCAUGCCCCUUACGUCUUGGGCUACACACGUGCUACAAUGGGCGCUACAAAGAGCAGCGAUGUCGUAAGGCGGAGCGAAUCUCAUAAAAGCGUUCUCAGUUCGGAUUGAGGGCUGCAACCCGCCCUCAUGAAGCAGGAGUUGCUAGUAAUCCCGGAUCAGCACGCCGGGGUGAAUGCGUUCCCGGGUCUUGCACACACCGCCCGU